Molecule: long non-coding RNA, 2292 nt
Filed under: Mytilus galloprovincialis (Mediterranean mussel)
Lineage: Eukaryota; Metazoa; Mollusca; Bivalvia; Mytilida; Mytilidae
Source: RNAcentral
GCUGUGUUUUUUCUUUUUUAUCUAUUUGUUUUGUUCAUACAUCGUUGUUAAAAUAGUGGAAUGUUAUACAAAUGUCAUACAAGUGAGAGGUUUAGCUAGUUUAAAAACAUGUUUAAUCCACCAUCAUCUACAUAAGAUAUGCAUGUACAAAGUCAGGAAUAUCAAUGCUGUUAUCCAUGCGUUUGAUGUGUAGGAGCUGUUGAUUUUGCGUUUUAGUUAUGGACUUCCGUUUUAAUUUUACUUGAGAGUUAUUUCACUUUUUAUUUUUUUCCUUCAUACAUAUCUUUUGAGUUAAGCCAUGUGCAACUGCUAUCUAUAGUUCUGGUUCGGAGAGGUCCAGCACAAGAACAUAUUAAACCCUAACUCAAUUUUUGUGAGUCUGUCCCAAAUAAUCAAGAGCUUGUUAUUCAUUGGUUCAUGUCUGUCAUCAUUUGUUUUUAAUAUUAUGCCUUAAGAUCUCAUUUGAAUUGCUUCAAAUCUUUAAUGUAAGGGUCUUUCAUAGCUGACUAUAUACCAUGGGUUAUCAGUCAUGAAUGUCAACUAGUGAUAUUUAAUUGCAUAUAUCUAAUUUAUUAAACUCUGGUGGAUAGUUGUCUUAUUGGUAAAUUUACCACACACAUUAUUUUGAUAUUAUAGCAAUUCUGUGAAAAAAAAUUGACAUUUGACACCCAUGUCAAUUCUGUUGCAGGUGUAAUGCUAUGAAAUGGUGUGUUGGAAUGAAGUAUAUCUUAAAGCCUCUGCAUAUUGCAGUGUCAGUCUAAUCAAUUUGGUUAUGGUGUUGAUUCUUUUUUUAUAGCAGCCAAGUUUUGCCUUCAGACGAAACAAUUUAGAAACACAGAUCAAACAAGCCUUGUGUGUCCUUAUAAUUAAUCAUAACAUACAACACCAAAACAGAUUGUAAGUCUUAUGUCAUGAUUAUUUUUUAUUAUAUUAAAUAAUAAAAUACAGAUGUAUUUUACUAUGUACCAGAUUGAUAUAGAAGUACAGUGAAGAACACUUUAAAAUUGCAAGCUUUCCACAUUUAAACUUGAUUCUGUUGAGGGUAAAUCAUACUGCUUAUACUAUCUUCAAGUAUUCUAUACAGUUUUAAAACUAAUUAUGUAUUCAUUAUUGUAUCCUUGUAAACAGCUGCCUGCAACAAGUUAAAGGUCAAAAGUUGAAAAACAAUUAAAUUUGAACAAAAUCAUUUAACAACAAGAGAUUGGACCAUAUGAUAUGACAUUAACAAUGAAAUGCAAAAGUUUAUGAACUAUGUACAUCUUAUUUCAUCCUAAAGUGGUAACAAAUUUCUUUUAUACCAUAGAACACAUGUCAUGUAAUAUAUUUCCUCAAAUGUAUUUGUAUGUUUACAAUAUUAUGUAAUACAAUGUCUUUUAAAGCAGUUACGUAAAAAUAUUCGCUUUUAUUGAAAAUUUUAAAAACUUUUUAAAUAGUUAAUCUUUCUGCAACUUUACGAAAGAGUUGACACAAGCCUAUGAGUCACACAUGGAACUUCAUCAACUUCAGUGUUACAGACUAUAUAGUUUUUUUGUUACCACUUUAAAAAGAUGUUACGUACAUAGAGUUAAAAUUACAGUCCAAUCUCUUGUUUAUUUCUCUCUCUCACACAGUAAGUUCGGACAUAUUUAUCUUUUGGUUCAGGCCACAAUGAUUUUGUUAUUAUCUCCCUUUAGUAAAAAUUGACAAUUAAAAAGUAAAAAAGCUACUGAUGUUGACUAUGUUAGCAUCACAAUCACAAUAUACCCUUAAGAAACUCAAAUACAACGACGGUGGAAAUAUUUGCAUUUCUCUGGUGGUAUUCACCAUUCAUUCACAAUCAUACACACUUUCAUCAUUUAACAAAUAUGUUAAUAAGAACACUUUUUAAUAACUUGUAAUAAAACAAUUAAAAUGAAAAAAAAAGUAAAAUAAAAUAAAUGCAUGACAUAAAACUGUAAGCCUAGAAGCUCUAUCUGUUCUCUUGCUUUCCACUUAAUAAUAAAAUCAUGAUCACAAAAUCUUAAAGAUAAUAAAUCAACAAAUUGCUUUAAAAAUACUGAAAGCUAACUGUAGGAAAAUAGAACUGCUCCCUGCAGCUUAAACUACAACCUUUUAAUAAUAAAUUAAUUCUACGUACUAAAAUAGAACAUUGUGUCAUGGUAACUAACAUUGAUACAUACCUUAAUUAAUCGUAUAAAAGUCAAUAAAGUCUUAAAUUACUUGACAGUACUGUUUAUAAGAAAUGUAAUUUAAAUUCAUUUCAUUCAUAAAUUAAAUAAGACAAUACAAACUUUAUUUCAUAUUCUUUUAAAA